CUCGGAUAUUUUAUACCCUUGAGAAAGUUAUAGUGUUUCUGGCAGGCUAGCGCCGGGAAUACAUUAGCGUGGAAAUGGUGUAAUAGGACUUUUACCUCUUCUGUUGGUUCUGAGGGGUUCAAGUAAAUGAUUAAAUAGGGAUAGUUGGGGGAUUUAUUACUUAACUGUCAGAGGUGAAAUUCUCGGGAUUUGUUAAAGACUAACUUAUGCUAAAAGCAUUUGGCAAGGAUGUUUUCAUUAAUCAAGAACGAAAGUUAGGGGAUCGAAGAUGAUUAGAUACCAUCCUAGUCUCAACCAUAAACGAUGCCCACUAGGGAUUGGCGGGUGUUACUUUGAUGACCCCGCCAGCACCUUAUGAGAAAUCAAAAUUUUUGGGUUCUGGGAGGAGUAUGGUCGCAAGGCUGAAACUUAAAGGAAUUGACGGAAGGGCACCACCCGGCGUGGAGCCUGUGGCUUAAUUUGACUCAACACGGGAAAACUUACCAGGUCCAGACAUAGCUAGGAUUGACAGAUUGACAGCUCUUUCUUGAUUCUAUGGGUGGUGGUGCAUGGCCGUUCUUAGUUGGUGGGUUGCCUUGUCAGGUUGAUUCCGGUAACGAACGACACCUCAGCCUGCUAAAUAGUCACGUCCGCCCUUGGCGGUCGGCAGACUUCUUAGAGGGACUAUUGGCGUCUAGCCAUUGGAAGCAUGAGGCAAUAACAGGUCUGUGAUGCCUUUAGAUGUUAUGGGCCGCACACGCGCUACACUGACGCGAUCAGCGAGCCUAUCCUUGGCCGAGAGGUCCGAGUAAUCUUGCAAACCGCGUCGUGAUGGGGAUAGAUUAUUGCAAUUAUUAAUAUUCAACGAGGAAUUCCUAGUAAGCGUGAGUCAUCAGCUCGCGUUGAAUACGUCCCUGCCCUUUGUACACACCGCCCGUCGCUCCUACCGAUUGAAUGAUCCGGUGAAAUCUUCGGACUGCGGGUGAGGCGGUUCACCGUCGAUGCUGCGGGAAGCUGAUUAUACG
Molecule: ribosomal RNA, 1004 nt
Filed under: uncultured eukaryote
Lineage: Eukaryota
Description: bacterial SSU rRNA
Rfam family: Eukaryotic small subunit ribosomal RNA
Source: RNAcentral